Molecule: ribosomal RNA, 441 nt
Filed under: uncultured Bacillota bacterium
Lineage: Bacteria; Bacillati; Bacillota
Description: bacterial SSU rRNA
Rfam family: Bacterial small subunit ribosomal RNA
Source: RNAcentral
CCUACGGGGUGCAGCAGUGGGGAAUCUUGCGCAAUGGGCGAAAGCCUGACGCAGCAACGCCGCGUGAACGAAGAAGGCCUUCGGGUCGUAAAGUUCUGUCAAGGGGGACGAUAAUGACGGUACCCCUGGAGGAAGCCCCGGCUAACUACGUGCCAGCAGCCGCGGUAAUACGUAGGGGGCGAGCGUUGUCCGGAAUUAUUGGGCGUAAAGGGCGUGUAGGCGGCCGAUCAAGUCAGGUGUGAAAUGCCGGGGCUCAACCCUGGAGGUGCACUUGAAACUGGUUGGCUUGAGUGCAGAAGAGGAAAGUGGAAUUCCCAGUGUAGCGGUGAAAUGCGUAGAUAUUGGGAGGAACACCAGUGGCGAAGGCGACUUUCUGGUCUGUAACUGACGCUGAGGCGCGAAAGCUAGGGGAGCAAACAGGAUUAGAUACCCCGGUAGUCC